RNAcentral lists this small nuclear RNA (107 nucleotides) under Mustela putorius furo (domestic ferret). The record is from RNAcentral. Lineage: Eukaryota; Metazoa; Chordata; Mammalia; Carnivora; Mustelidae.
GUGCUUACUUGGGCAGCACAUAUACUAAAAUUGGAAUGAUACAGAGAAGAUUAGCACAGCCCCUGUGCAAGGACAGCAUGCAGAUCUGUGAGGCGUUCAAUACAGAA